This 292-nucleotide ribosomal RNA is filed under the name uncultured bacterium. RNAcentral describes it as "partial 16S ribosomal RNA". It matches the Rfam family "Bacterial small subunit ribosomal RNA", at positions 505 to 796 of the family's 1533-position model. The record is from RNAcentral.
GUGCCAGCAGCCGCGGUAAUACGAAGGGGGCUAGCGUUGCUCGGAAUUACUGGGCGUAAAGGGCGCGUAGGCGGAUAUUUAAGUCGGGGGUGAAAGCCCAGGGCUCAACCCUGGAAUUGCCUUCGAUACUGGAUAUCUUGAGUUCGGGAGAGGUGAGUGGAAUGCCGAGUGUAGAGGUGAAAUUCGUAGAUAUUCGGCGGAACACCAGUGGCGAAGGCGACUCACUGGCCCGAUACUGACGCUGAGGCGCGAAAGCGUGGGGAGCAAACAGGAUUAGAUACCCUGGUAGUCC